RNAcentral lists this ribosomal RNA (463 nucleotides) under uncultured bacterium. RNAcentral describes it as "bacterial SSU rRNA". It matches the Rfam family "Bacterial small subunit ribosomal RNA", at positions 331 to 792 of the family's 1533-position model. The record is from RNAcentral.
CCAGACUCCUACGGGAGGCAGCAGUGAGGAAUAUUGGUCAAUGGGCGAGAGCCUGAACCAGCCAAGUCGCGUGAAGGAUGAAGGAUCUAUGGUUUGUAAACUUCUUUUAUAUGGGAAUAAAGUGAGGAACGUGUUCCUUUUUGUAUGUACCAUAUGAAUAAGCAUCGGCUAACUCCGUGCCAGCAGCCGCGGUAAUACGGAGGAUGCGAGCGUUAUCCGGAUUUAUUGGGUUUAAAGGGUGCGUAGGCGGGCUGUUAAGUCAGCGGUCAAAUGUCGGGGCUCAACCCCGGCCUGCCGUUGAAACUGGCGGCCUCGAGUGGGCGAGAAGUAUGCGGAAUGCGUGGUGUAGCGGUGAAAUGCAUAGAUAUCACGCAGAACUCCGAUUGCGAAGGCAGCAUACCGGCGCCCGACUGACGCUGAGGCACGAAAGCGUGGGUAUCGAACAGGAUUAGAUACCCGAGUA